CCCCAUCCUGCUGACAUCACAAUGCUUCUUUCUCUUGCUUUGCUUCUUUGCUUAUGUUGUUCUCACUGCCUGAAAUGUUCCCUUCCACUCCAUCACCAAUACCACAAUUCCCCCAUCACUAGCAUCCCUUUCUCUCUACUGUUACUCACACUUUAGCCCAAGACUCACCAGCUCCACGAGUCUUUCCAAGUUCCAUUACUCCCAGCCAGUCAUUAAACUUCACAUUCAGUAAGAGCUCACGUGUGUCAAGCCUCCUGCCAACACCUUUAUUGGAAAGUUUCUUGAGCUGACAGUUCAUUUGAAAUUUAUCCCUGAGAAGUUUGCACUGUGGAUUCUGCCUUUAUAAGAUGCUGACUUAUUUCCUUCACUCCUUCAACUGCACGUGGGCAGACUAGGAAGGAACUAGCAGGAUUUCCUGAAUGAUAGACAUUCUCCUCCUUAUUUCCAGUCAUACAUCAGCAAUCCUACCUCUCUCCUUGAUGAUUGAGGAUGACAUUCUGCGGUUGAAAAAAAUGAAGUUAUUUCCAGAAAGAAAAAGAAAAACUCCUUCACCCUGGAGCAGCCAUUUGGAAAUUAUUUAAUCACACUAAGAGGAACCUUGAACACAUUAGGUUAUUUUCAAAUGAUCUUUCCAGAG
Molecule: long non-coding RNA, 637 nt
Filed under: Rhinopithecus bieti (black snub-nosed monkey)
Lineage: Eukaryota; Metazoa; Chordata; Mammalia; Primates; Cercopithecidae
Description: lncRNA (ENSRBIG00000045986.1)
Source: RNAcentral